UACGGGGGGGGCAAGCGUUGUUCGGAAUUACUGGGCGUAAAGGGCUCGUAGGCGGCCAACUAAGUCAGACGUGAAAUCCCUCAGCUUAACUGGGGAACUGCGUCUGAUACUGGAUGGCUUGGAUUUGGGAGAGGGAUGCGGAAUUCCAGGUGUAGCGGUGAAAUGCGUAGAUAUCAGGAGGAACACCGGUGGCGAAGGCGGCUUUCUGGACAGAUACCGACGCUGAGGCACGAAAGCUAGGGGAGCAAACAGG
RNAcentral lists this ribosomal RNA (253 nucleotides) under uncultured bacterium. RNAcentral's name for it is "partial 16S ribosomal RNA". It matches the Rfam family "Bacterial small subunit ribosomal RNA", at positions 524 to 776 of the family's 1533-position model. The record is from RNAcentral.